UGUGAUCGAGCCUUUGAAGAACUCCAAGGCGCAAGAACAACUUGCCAAAGGUAAAUGUGAUCAGCUAGAUGUCAAAGAAAAAAAGUUGGUCAAGGAAGAGUUUGAACCUAGACCUAGUGUUACAAAGUAUGACGGUGGUGAGGGUAAUAAGAAUAUGAAAUUACUUGUAAAUGAUGAGUUUGAACCCAGACCAAGUGUUACAAAGUAUGAUGGUGAUGAGAGUUAUAAGAAUAUGAAAUUGUCAAUAAAUGAUGAGUUUGAACCCAGACCAAGUGCUACAAAGUAUGAUGGUAAUGAGGGUUAUAAGAAUAUCAAACUACCAGUAAAUGAUGAGUUUGAACCUAGACUAGUGUUACAAAGUAUGACGGUGGUGAGGGUAAUAAGAAUAUGAAAUUACUUGUAAAUGAUGAGUUUGAACCCAGACCAAGUGUUACAAAGUAUGAUGGUGAUGAGAGUUAUAAGAAUAUGAAAUUGUCAAUAAAUGAUGAGUUUGAACCCAGACCAAGUGCUACAGAAUAUGAUGGUAAUGAGGGUUAUAAGAAUAUCAAACUACCAGUAAAUGAUGAGUUUGAACCCAGACCAAGUGCUACAAAGUAUGAUGGUGAUGAUGGUUAUAAGAAUAUGAAACUACCCAUAAAUGAUGAGUUUGAACCCAGACCAAGUGCUACAAAGUAUGAUGGUGAUGAUGGUUAUAAGAAUAUGAAACUAUCCGUAAAUGAUGAGUUUGAACCCAUACCAAGUGUUACUAAGUAUGACGGUGAUGAAGGUUAUAAGAAUCUGAAAUUGACCAUAAAUGAUGAGUUUGAACCCAGACCAAGUGCUACAAAGUAUGAUGGUGAUGAUGGUUAUCAGAAUAUGAAACUACCGAUAAAUGAUGAGUUUGAACCCAGACCAAGUGCUACAAAGUAUGAUGGUGAUGAUGGUUAUCAGAAUAUGAAACUACCCAUAAAUUAUGAGUUUGAACCCAGACCAAGUGCUACAAAAUAUGAUGGUGAUGAUGGUUAUAAGAAUAUGAAAUUACCCUUGAAUGAUGAGUUUGAACCUAGGCCAAGUGCUACCAAAUAUAAUGAUUGAAUAGAAACAUGAAUGUGGCAUCUAUUAAAAUAAAAUUGUGUGCUAUAAGUUUAUUCAAAUGGUAAUUAUGUUGUCAUGUAUUAUGGUGUUUGAAUAAAAUAUGUAAAAAAAGUUUUUUUAGAAUCAUCCUAAUUUGGGUCUUUUAGUUUAGAAUAGAAUAUUACCGCUUUUAAUAAAUUAAUAAUCUAACUUCUUAUUAGUCGGUGUUUUCAUCCUUAAACUUUGACAUAUUUUAUAGAUAUUUCUCCAUUUACUCC
RNAcentral lists this long non-coding RNA (1331 nucleotides) under Lathyrus oleraceus (garden pea). RNAcentral's name for it is "Pisum sativum (pea) long non-coding RNA (PSAT_LNC034421)". Lineage: Eukaryota; Viridiplantae; Streptophyta; Magnoliopsida; Fabales; Fabaceae. The record is from RNAcentral.